Molecule: unclassified non-coding RNA, 254 nt
Filed under: uncultured Patescibacteria group bacterium
Lineage: Bacteria
Description: contains 16S-23S intergenic spacer region
Rfam family: Bacterial small subunit ribosomal RNA
Source: RNAcentral
UACGUGGGGUGCGAGCGUUAUCCGGAUUUACUGGGCGUAAAGCGUACCGUCGGCGGUUCGCCAAGUCUGAUGUUUAAACCCAAGGCUCAACUUUGGAACAGCAUCAGAAACUGGAGAACUUGAGUAUGUUAGGGGUAGUUGGAAUUCUCGGUGGAGGGGUGAAAUCCGUAGAUAUCGAGAGGAACGCCAAGCGCGAAGGCAGACUACUAAGACAUUACUGACGCUCAUGGACGAAAGCUAGGGUAGCAAAAGGG